Long non-coding RNA from Micropterus salmoides (largemouth bass), 556 nucleotides. RefSeq lists it as uncharacterized. Lineage: Eukaryota; Metazoa; Chordata; Actinopteri; Centrarchiformes; Centrarchidae. The record is from RefSeq and is a predicted model, not a curated record. The transcript is spliced from 4 exons.
CCGGGAGAUGACGUGGGGGAACGACCAUGAGUUUGAACUGUCUCGUGGAGUCUGAAACGUUCUUUAUGUCUAUGGUCCGAAAGCAUAACGUUAACUUAUCCCUGCUUCCCGGUUUCUGCCGGUUGUUGUUUUCGCUGUUCGCUGGUAAUGCAUGCUCAAGUGUGUGGUUGUGAGAUCAUCAUCUAGAAAUCCUUUUUAAAAGUUCAGAUAUUGGACUUCAAAGAGUGCUACAGAGAGUCAGCGUUUCACCAUCAGACAGUUGGUGUCUGAUAGGAACAACGUGAUGUAAAUAUGAGACGGGAUCUCGUCCUUCGUGCACUUCCUGUGUACCUGCGUGAAGAUGCCUCCAAGUUCUUCAGGACCUGUAAUGUAAGUGUACUGGCCUCACUAUCAAUCCCUUUGCCUAGCUAUUCAGUCAGCUUAAACAUAUGACAUCACUCCAAAAACUAUAGGAGAACCAGGCGGGUAUUUCAGAAAGCAGGUCAUGUGAACCCUGAGAUGAGGGAAACUCUUGAGUUAUCCAAAAGAGAAUUUUGAUUCAUUUAGAUGAGCUCUU